AGUAACACGUAGGUAACCUGCCCAUGUGCCCGGGAUAACUUCUGGAAACGGAUGCUAAAACCGGAUAGGUAGCAGACAAGCAUUUGACUGCUAUUAAAGUGGCUAAGGCCAUGAACAUGGAUGGACCUGCGGUGCAUUAGCUAGUUGGUGAGGUAACGGCCCACCAAGGCGACGAUGCAUAGCCGGCCUGAGAGGGCGAACGGCCACAUUGGGACUGAGACACGGCCCAAACUCCUACGGGAGGCAGCAUG
Molecule: ribosomal RNA, 251 nt
Filed under: uncultured bacterium
Lineage: Bacteria
Description: partial 16S ribosomal RNA
Rfam family: Bacterial small subunit ribosomal RNA
Source: RNAcentral